AGAGGGGGCAAGCGUUGUUCGGAAUUACUGGGCGUAAAGGGCGCGUAGGCGGCCUUCUAAGUCGAACGUGAAAUCCCCGGGCUCAACCCGGGAACUGCGUCCGAUACUGGAAGGCUUGAAUCCGGGAGAGGGAUGUGGAAUUCCAGGUGUAGCGGUGAAAUGCGUAGAUAUCUGGAGGAACACCGGUGGCGAAGGCGACAUCCUGGACCGGUAUUGACGCUGAGGCGCGAAAGCCAGGGGAGCAAACGGGAUUAGAUACCCCGGUAGUCCUGGCCCUAAACGAUGAAUGCUUGGUGUGGCGGGUAUCGAUCCCUGCCGUGCCGAAGCUAACGCAUUAAGCAUUCCGCCUGGGGAGUACGGUCGCAAGGCUGAA
RNAcentral lists this ribosomal RNA (373 nucleotides) under uncultured bacterium. RNAcentral's name for it is "bacterial SSU rRNA". It matches the Rfam family "Bacterial small subunit ribosomal RNA", at positions 527 to 898 of the family's 1533-position model. The record is from RNAcentral.